AACGAACGCUGGCGGCAUGCCUAAUACAUGCAAGUCGAACGCUCGGGAGCGAUCCCGGGAGUGGCGGACGGGUGAGUAACGCGUGGGAACCUGCCCUUGAGUGCGGGAUAACCGAGGGAAACUUCGGCUAAUACCGCAUGCGCCCGGAGCAAUCCGGGGAAAGAUUUAUCGCUCAAGGAGGGGCCCGCGUCGGAUUAGCUAGUUGGUGGGGUAACGGCCUACCAAGGCGAUGAUCCGUAGCUGGUCUGAGAGGAUGAUCAGCCACACUGG
Molecule: ribosomal RNA, 270 nt
Filed under: uncultured bacterium
Lineage: Bacteria
Description: partial 16S ribosomal RNA
Rfam family: Bacterial small subunit ribosomal RNA
Source: RNAcentral